UACGAAGGGGGCUAGCGUUGCUCGGAAUCACUGGGCGUAAAGCGCACGUAGGCGGAUUUUUAAGUCAGGGGUGAAAUCCUGGAGCUCAACUCCAGAACUGCCUUUGAUACUGAAGAUCUUGAGUUCGGGAGAGGUGAGUGGAACUGCGAGUGUAGAGGUGAAAUUCGUAGAUAUUCGCAAGAACACCAGUGGCGAAGGCGGCUCACUGGCCCGAUACUGACGCUGAGGCACGAAAGCGUGGGGAGCAAACAGG
Molecule: ribosomal RNA, 253 nt
Filed under: uncultured bacterium
Lineage: Bacteria
Description: partial 16S ribosomal RNA
Rfam family: Bacterial small subunit ribosomal RNA
Source: RNAcentral